AUGCUGCAGCGUAAAAUGUCAGUUGAAGGCAGCUGUGAGGGAGAGAUGGGCGACAAGAACCUGCAGGCAGCUAGCCAAGAUUUAGGACAGAGCAGUGACCCAGCCACAUUCAAUGAGUUCAAGCGAUUUCUUGUUAUGAGCAUUGGGUUUGGUGGUAUGCUCGACCUUCAAAUGCUGCAGAAACUAAACCUGAAAUUCAGUGCAUGGACAAUGAGUAAGGGAACACUGGCUAAUACUGAGACGAUUAAGCAGUUCAACUGGUGUGAGUAUGUGAUUCAAUGCCUGCUCGCUGGUGUUAGGAGGCUAAAUAAUAAUAUCCGGUCAGGCAACCCCGCCACCAACUUAGUCGGAUGCUACUUGUUUCUCCAGAUAUUCCCGCUGGACAACCUCGCCCUUGGGUUGUUCAACAAGAAAAUGCGGAGGAUGCCAACCAUGGCUACUGAUGUUGGAAAGCCGGUCACAUCUUACAGUGGCACAUCAUUAUGGCACCACUCCACUUUGUGCUACGCCCGUUCCAAGCACUCCGCCGCGGAGCAGUCAUCAUCAAGGAACACAGCAAAAUCUCCAUUCUAG
This 573-nucleotide ribosomal RNA is filed under the name Triticum aestivum (bread wheat). RNAcentral describes it as "partial small subunit ribosomal RNA". Lineage: Eukaryota; Viridiplantae; Streptophyta; Magnoliopsida; Poales; Poaceae. The record is from RNAcentral.